Molecule: ribosomal RNA, 254 nt
Filed under: uncultured bacterium
Lineage: Bacteria
Description: partial 16S ribosomal RNA
Rfam family: Bacterial small subunit ribosomal RNA
Source: RNAcentral
UACGUAGGGUCCGAGCGUUAUCCGGAAUUACUGGGCGUAAAGAGUUCUGUAGGCGGAUUAAUAAGUUUAGAUUGAAACUCCAAGGCUCAACCUCGGAUUUGGUCUAAAUACUAUUAGUCUAGAGGCUCGUAGGGACUAGGAGAACGGGUGGUGAAGCAGUGAAAUGCGUUGAUAUCACCUGGAAUACCAAAGGCGAAGGCACCUAGUUGGGCGAGAUCUGACGCUGAGAGACGAAAGCGUGGGGAGCAAAACGG